Molecule: ribosomal RNA, 403 nt
Filed under: bacterium
Lineage: Bacteria
Description: partial 16S ribosomal RNA
Rfam family: Bacterial small subunit ribosomal RNA
Source: RNAcentral
UGGGGAAUAUUGCACAAUGGGGGAAACCCUGAUGCAGCGACGCCGCGUGAACGAAGAAGGUAUUCGUAUCGUAAAGUUCUGUCCUAUGGGAAGAUAAUGACAGUACCAUAGAAGAAAGCUCCGGCUAAAUACGUGCCAGCAGCCGCGGUAAUACGUAUGGAGCGAGCGUUGUCCGGAAUUAUUGGGCGUAAAGGGUACGCAGGCGGUUUAAUAAGUCGAAUGUUAAAGAUCGGGGCUCAACCCCGUAAAGCAUUGGAAACUGAUAAACUUGAGUAGUGGAGUGGAAAGUGGAAUUCCUAGUGUAGUGGUGAAAUACGUAGAUAUUAGGAGGAAUACCAGUAGCGAAGGCGACUUUCUGGACACAAACUGACGCUGAGGUACGAAAGCGUGGGGAGCAAACAGG